Long non-coding RNA from Anastrepha ludens (Mexican fruit fly), 455 nucleotides. RefSeq lists it as uncharacterized. The record is from RefSeq and is a predicted model, not a curated record. NCBI's taxonomy places the organism in Eukaryota, Metazoa, Arthropoda, Insecta, Diptera, Tephritidae. The transcript is spliced from 3 exons.
GCCAGCCGUCUAUAGACAGAAAUCAAAAAAAUUAAAAUAACAAAUCAUACUCGUAAAGUGAGGCACGAAACCGCUUUUUCAAGUUUCGUCGAUCGCUAGACAAAAUCAGCAACACCAACUUCAGCGUAUUGAGGAGAUUUGUCAGUAUUGGGCACGCAAAAUUUAAAUUACAUUGGACUUUAUUGUAUACAUAGUACGUGUAGCAAUGGAGCCGGCUAAACCUAAUUCAAAAGAGGGGAGUUAGCAUUGAAUGUUAACAAUGUUCCCUAGUAAUGGGUGAAGAGUUCAACAUAUAAUCGACUGCUCCACAAUGCGAUGAUGUGAUGCGCUAUGUCGUCAUAGCCCAACCAUUUCGUGUUCUAUCCUUUUUCCAAGUUGCGUUUACAAAUAUUCAAUUUCAAAUUAAAAAUGUAUGCAGAAUUGUUUUUUUCUCGAAAUUUAAUGAAACUUUUUUC